UGAUUUGAGAGCAAUGUAAAGUUUGAAGGAAAAGAAUAGACUCUUUGUGUUUAAGUGAAUUGUCUUAUUGGGAUAAGUAGAGAAGCCUCUAGCUCAAGUUAUCAAAGUCUUGGCCCCCACCAAAAAAAAAAAAAAAAAAAAAAAAAAAAAAAAAAAAAAAAAAAAAAAAAAAAAAAAAAAAAAAAAAAAAACGAAAAAAAAAAAUGAGAAAAGAAAGAAAAAGGGGGCUAGCAAAAUUGUUAGGAGCU
Molecule: long non-coding RNA, 248 nt
Filed under: Brassica napus (rape)
Lineage: Eukaryota; Viridiplantae; Streptophyta; Magnoliopsida; Brassicales; Brassicaceae
Description: long non-coding RNA (BNAP_LNC020037)
Source: RNAcentral